GACGAACGCUGGCGGCGUGCUUAACACAUGCAAGUCGAACGGAAAGGCCCUGCUUUUGUGGGGUGCUCGAGUGGCGAACGGGUGAGUAACACGUGAGUAACCUGCCCUUGACUUUGGGAUAACUUCAGGAAACUGGGGCUAAUACCGGAUAGGAGCUCCUGUUGCAUGGUGGGGGUUGGAAAGUUUCGGCGGUUGGGGAUGGACUCGCGGCUUAUCAGCUUGUUGGUGGGGUAGUGGCUUACCAAGGCUUUGACGGGUAGCCGGCCUGAGAGGGUGACCGGCCACAUUGGGACUGAGAUACGGCACAGACUCCUACGGGAGGCAGCAGUGGGGAAUAUUGCACAAUGGGCGGAAGCCUGAUGCAGCAAAGCCGCGUGCGGGAUGACGGCCUUCGGGUUGUAAACCGCUUUCGCCUGUGACGAAGCGUGAGUGACGGUAAUGGGUAAAGAAGCACCGGCUAACUACGUG
This 468-nucleotide ribosomal RNA is filed under the name uncultured bacterium. Its description in RNAcentral is "partial 16S ribosomal RNA". It matches the Rfam family "Bacterial small subunit ribosomal RNA", at positions 28 to 507 of the family's 1533-position model. The record is from RNAcentral.